Molecule: ribosomal RNA, 254 nt
Filed under: uncultured bacterium
Lineage: Bacteria
Description: partial 16S ribosomal RNA
Rfam family: Bacterial small subunit ribosomal RNA
Source: RNAcentral
UACAGAGGGGGCAAGCGUUGUUCGGAAUUACUGGGCGUAAAGGGCGCGUAGGCGGCCCGCUAAGUCGAACGUGAAAUCCCCGGGCUCAACCCGGGAACUGCGUCCGAUACUGGUGGGCUUGAAUCCGGGAGAGGGAUGCGGAAUUCCAGGUGUAGCGGUGAAAUGCGUAGAUAUCGUGGAGGAACACCGGUGGCGAAGGCGGCAUCCUGGACCGGCAUUGACGCUGAGGCGCGAAAGCCAGGGGAGCAAACGGG